CACCUCUUCCUCGACGAACUCGAAAUCGAGUAUGACGAGACAGAACACUACGUCGUGAUCAAACACGCUGCUCUAUUCACCUCCACCAUCAUGAGCAAGCUGUUGGCCCGACCAAAUGUGAAGCUCUUCAACGCGGUGGCAGCCGAGGAUUUGAUCAUCAAAGGAGGAAGAGUCGGUGGCGUGGUGACCAACUGGGCUCUAGUGGCGAUGAACCACGACACACAGUCGUGUAUGGACCCUAAUGUGAUGGAAGCUAAGGUGGUUGUGAGCUCAUGUGGGCAUGAUGGUCCGAUGGGUGCCACCGGAGUCAAGAGGCUUAGAAGCGUAGGGAUGAUCGAGAGCGUUCCAGGGAUGAAGGCGCUUGACAUGAACACAGCGGAAGACGCGAUCGUGAGGCUUACGAGAGAGAUCGUUCCUGGUAUGAUCGUCACAGGGAUGGAAGUUGCAGAGAUUGAUGGAUCUCCAA
Molecule: long non-coding RNA, 466 nt
Filed under: Lactuca sativa (garden lettuce)
Lineage: Eukaryota; Viridiplantae; Streptophyta; Magnoliopsida; Asterales; Asteraceae
Description: long non-coding RNA (LSAT_LNC004823)
Source: RNAcentral